Long non-coding RNA from Podarcis raffonei (Aeolian wall lizard), 488 nucleotides. RefSeq lists it as uncharacterized. NCBI's taxonomy places the organism in Eukaryota, Metazoa, Chordata, Lepidosauria, Squamata, Lacertidae. The transcript has 2 exons. The record is from RefSeq and is a predicted model, not a curated record.
GUUAGCCCUAUUGAUUCAUAUGUUGUUAGGGCAGGGGAGGGGGUCAUUGUCUUGCUGGCCUUUGUAUGUGAUAAAGAGGAGCCACACAAGGGGGAAGGCCUCCUUCUUUGUUUGAUCCCAUGAUAGAUUCAGUCUGCUGAUUAGUUUUUCUAGUAGCGCUCCUUCCCAUGCAGUUUGGUACCAGUGGUCCAUGUUCACUGCCAAAAGGCCUCUCCAGUGUCUGGUAAAUAUUGACCCAUGCAUUUUCCCCUGCUCAGGGGUGCCAACUUGAAUAAAAUAUUGGGAGGGCGGACAGGUAAGCUCCACCCCACAUAAUCUAUCACAAAACUAGGUACACAUACAGUAUUUGAAUGGCAAUGCCCAUCAACCGGGGGGGCGGAGGCUCAAAUAUUUUAUUGGGGGUGGCUGAAAGUACCUUGGCCCCUAGGAAUUGGCUCCUGUGCCCCCCACCCUUUUACCCUUUCUGGGGGAAAUACCCACAAAGUUUU